AUAUCGUGAUGAGGACCUUUUCUCAAUUGUUCCUUGAAUCUCUCCUAAGACUCAUAUAAAGAUUCCCACUCAAUCAGGUAAAAAUUAUUGAUCUCCCCCUUUAAUUU
Small nucleolar RNA from Humulus lupulus (European hop), 107 nucleotides. The record is from RefSeq and is a predicted model, not a curated record. NCBI's taxonomy places the organism in Eukaryota, Viridiplantae, Streptophyta, Magnoliopsida, Rosales, Cannabaceae.